Molecule: small nuclear RNA, 164 nt
Organism: Rattus norvegicus (Norway rat)
Lineage: Eukaryota; Metazoa; Chordata; Mammalia; Rodentia; Muridae
Product: U2 spliceosomal RNA
Source: Ensembl
AUCGCUUCUCGGCCUUUUGGCUAAGAUCAAGUGUAGGAAUGUUGAGAACCAAUGUUUUAAAGUGAACUGUUCACAUCUUAUAUCCUAUUCUAUGGCUUCAUAAGAAGUACAGAUUGAAUGUCCUCUUAAAACUCACAUUGUCAUUUAAUUACCAUUCUGACAGU